This 1427-nucleotide ribosomal RNA is filed under the name Serratia sp. R41. RNAcentral's name for it is "bacterial SSU rRNA". It matches the Rfam family "Bacterial small subunit ribosomal RNA". The record is from RNAcentral. Lineage: Bacteria; Pseudomonadati; Pseudomonadota; Gammaproteobacteria; Enterobacterales; Yersiniaceae.
ACAGGGGAGCUUGCUCUCUGGGUGACGAGCGGCGGCCGUUUGAGUAAUGUCUGGGAAACUGCCUGAUGGAGGGGGAUCACUACUGGAAACGGUAGCUAAUACCGCAUAACGUCGCAAGACCAAAGAGGGGGACCUUCGGGCCUCUUGCCAUCAGAUGUGCCCAGAUGGGAUUAGCUAGUAGGUGGGGUAAUGGCUCACCUAGGCGACGAUCCCUAGCUGGUCUGAGAGGAUGACCAGCCACACUGGAACUGAGACACGGUCCAGACUCCUACGGGAGGCAGCAGUGGGGAAUAUUGCACAAUGGGCGCAAGCCUGAUGCAGCCAUGCCGCGUGUGUGAAGAAGGCCUUCGGGUUGUAAAGCACUUUCAGCGAGGAGGAAGGUGGUGAGCUUAAUACGCUCAUCAAUUGACGUUACUCGCAGAAGAAGCACCGGCUAACUCCGUGCCAGCAGCCGCGGUAAUACGGAGGGUGCAAGCGUUAAUCGGAAUUACUGGGCGUAAAGCGCACGCAGGCGGUUUGUUAAGUCAUAUGUGAAAUCCCCGGGCUCAACCUGGGAACUGCAUUUGAAACUGGCAAGCUAGAGUCUCGUAGAGGGGGGUAGAAUUCCAGGUGUAGCGGUGAAAUGCGUAGAGAUCUGGAGGAAUACCGGUGGCGAAGGCGGCCCCCUGGACGAAGACUGACGCUCAGGUGCGAAAGCGUGGAGAGCAAACAGGAUUAGAUACCCUGGUAGUCCACGCUGUAAACGAUGUCGAUUUGGAGGUUGUGCCCUUGAGGCGUGGCUUCCGGAGCUAACGCGUUAAAUCGACCGCCUGGGGAGUACGGCCGCAAGGUUAAAACUCAAAUGAAUUGACGGGGGCCCGCACAAGCGGUGGAGCAUGUGGUUUAAUUCGAUGCAACGCGAAGAACCUUACCUACUCUUGACAUCCAGAGAACUUAGCAGAGAUGCUUUGGUGCCUUCGGGAACUCUGAGACAGGUGCUGCAUGGCUGUCGUCAGCUCGUGUUGUGAAAUGUUGGGUUAAGUCCCGCAACGAGCGCAACCCUUAUCCUUUGUUGCCAGCGGUUCGGCCGGGAACUCAAAGGAGACUGCCAGUGAUAAACUGGAGGAAGGUGGGGAUGACGUCAAGUCAUCAUGGCCCUUACGAGUAGGGCUACACACGUGCUACAAUGGCAUAUACAAAGAGAAGCGACCUCGCGAGAGCAAGCGGACCUCAUAAAGUAUGUCGUAGUCCGGAUUGGAGUCUGCAACUCGACUCCAUGAAGUCGGAAUCGCUAGUAAUCGUAGAUCAGAAUGCGACGGUGAAUACGUUCCCGGGCCUUGUACACACCGCCCGACAGGCCAUGGGAGUGGGUGCAAAAGAAGUAGGUAGCUUACCUUCGGGAGGGCGCUAUUAGUGUGUCACGAGCAGUUUAUCCAAUCCAAGUGCGC